CAGAAUAUGAAGAUUCGUCAUGGACAAACAUGAUAAAUGUUGAUGCAAUUGAAUAAUAUUUUAUACUUGAAAUUCUUGUUAAUUAAAUAAUUUUUAAUAUAUUUUUAGUUUAAGAUGAAUUGAAUGAUACAAAGUCUUAGCAUUUUGCAUCCUGUAUAUAGAAGUCCUUGCUCUACCACUGCUAUAUUGCAUGACUAUCUUUCUCUCUUGCCUUGUCUUGGAUUAACAAGAGAAUGAUUAGAGUCUUAUCUCAGCUUCAUAAAUUAUUCAAUGAAGUAUAUGCACUUGUGAGAACUAAACCACAUAUUCCAUCUUAUGCUGCA
RNAcentral lists this long non-coding RNA (323 nucleotides) under Elaeis guineensis (African oil palm). Its description in RNAcentral is "long non-coding RNA (EGUI_LNC010010)". The record is from RNAcentral. Lineage: Eukaryota; Viridiplantae; Streptophyta; Magnoliopsida; Arecales; Arecaceae.